GAGAGGGAGUAUAAUCAGCAGCCUGAUGACCUAGAGGGAGGAGAGGGAGUAUAAUCAGCAGCCUGAUGACCUAGAGGAAGGAGAGGGAGGAUAAUCAGCAGUCUGAUGACCUAGAGGUCAGAGAGGGAGUAUAAUCAGCAGCCUGAUGACCUAGAGGGAGGAGAGGGAGUAUAAUCAGCAGCCUGAUGACCUAGAGGAAGGAGAGGGAGGAUAAUCAGCAGCCUGAUGACCUAGAGGUCAGAGAGGGAGUAUAAUCAGCAGCCUGAUGACCUAGAGGUCAGAGAGGGAGUAUAACCAGCAGCCUGAUGACCUAGAGGAAGGAGAGGGAGUAUAUGUGACAGUAAAUGGAUCCUGAUUAAAAGAGAACACCAAUCUGUCUGUAGGCUACCCAGUUAUCAACUUCCAUAGGCAUAUUGUUGCAUUGUUCUACAAAGUAAAACAAGAGAGAGCUAAGCUUUUGGCACGAGCGCAUCGGCCAUCGCCGGUGAGUGAGCUGAGCAUCAUUGGGUGAAUCAGUGAAACUGGAAAGCUUUUUUAGGACGAUCAUUUCCUCCUAAUAAUGUACAAUAUGUGUCUCCACACGCCUAGGUAACAGGCUAUUGGUGGACUGAAGGUCAUUGUUAUUGGUCUCAGAUUGUCAGUUUGUCAGUGUCAUAGCAGCCUGUCAUUUCCAUCAUUUGUGAGCUAUUAAAAAAUGAUCUGCUAAAGUCUCCAGUCAUCUCAAAUGAAUUGCAUGAAAUGCUUUUAUAAAGGCCACAUUUUCCCCAACACGCAGGCUACAACAAUGUUUUCCCAUGUGUGCAACUUCUGCAAGCGCCUCUACACAAAA
Molecule: long non-coding RNA, 829 nt
Filed under: Salmo salar (Atlantic salmon)
Lineage: Eukaryota; Metazoa; Chordata; Actinopteri; Salmoniformes; Salmonidae
Description: lncRNA (ENSSSAG00000107227.1)
Source: RNAcentral